This 1267-nucleotide long non-coding RNA is filed under the name Homo sapiens (human). RNAcentral's name for it is "long intergenic non-protein coding RNA 1938". Lineage: Eukaryota; Metazoa; Chordata; Mammalia; Primates; Hominidae. The record is from RNAcentral.
ACUUUGGGCUCCUCAUGCCUCUGAAUCAACGGGCAAAGAAGAGAGUUAUAGAUCCUAACCACCCAGGAGAAAUUCGGUGGCCACUACACAAACAGAAUGUAUUAAUAGUAAUUAAAUUUAUAUCAUAGUCUUGAAAUUACAAGAUAUCCAACUUGAAGCAUGCAUUGGGAGAAGAAUAAAUAUCAUCCAAAGACAAAAAAACAACAACACGACGUUGUGUUCUACUAAAAGGAAAAAAGCCUAUUUUCAGAUGUACUUAGAAGAGAUACACCAUGUUAGGUGGAAGUUUGACUUUGUCAUGAUCUUUUGUGUAGUCUAAGUAUGAUUUAAGAUGUUUAUGAGUGCCAAAUUGGUAAGGAGUGGAUUGUGCUGGCUCUGCAAACUAUGUCAGCUUGGCUGUACUGGGCUACAUUUCCCAGAGUACCCUUCCCUGUAUAUCUCCACUUAGGGUGGGCCAAGAGAGAUUCUUGCAGGCGAUUUAGUGGGUGGAAGUAAAGCAACAACUAUUUUAUAUCUUGCACAUAUUUUUGUCAGUCUGGUUAAAUUAUUGAUGUGAGGCAUGAGGUGGACCUACAACUAGUGCACCUUCCCUUUGAUAUUUCUUCAGCUUUUCUGACUCUGCGGCCAGGUGUUUGUAUUUAACUCCACGGUGAGGAGACUCAUCUUCUGACGGACCUAACCUAUACCAUCAAGGUCAGAGGCAACAAGAAAUGGCAUGCAUUUCAGUUUAUUGUUCUGUGGCUCCAGCUUGUAUAUUUUAACUCUAGAUUUUUUUUUACUUUCCCCACUUUACAAUCAUCUUCCCUUUCCAACUACCUUCCUUGUGGACUUCAAGCUCCAGCACCACAAGCAAAGACAAAAACCUUGCGGAAACUAUUUAACUAACUCCCACAAUUGCAUAAGUUCCAAGAUGUUGCUACAAAUCCAGAUAUCAUGGCCAUGUUCACAGCAAGAAUGAGAAAAAGGGGGCAGCUAUAUCUGUACUAAUUUACGAGGAAAGUCACCCCACUUCCUCCAAUAGACUUUCUUCUGAGCCUCACUAACCUCAACUGCGUCCCAAGAUCACCACUAGUUGCAAAGGCGAAUGUCAAAGCAGGAAAAAUAAUUCUCAUGUUGGGUUAUGUUAAUCAUUAUCUAUCUUCCUCCAUAAACCAAAGCAGGGUACUCUAAGCAAGGCAGAAGGAGCAAAUAGAUCCUGAGUGGGCAAAUAGUGGGAUCUGCUACACAGCAUAUGUUAAUAAAGGUGGCUGAAUAGUUUAUUAUCUGA